Cyprinus carpio (common carp) is the source of this 1460-nucleotide long non-coding RNA. The record is from Ensembl. NCBI's taxonomy places the organism in Eukaryota, Metazoa, Chordata, Actinopteri, Cypriniformes, Cyprinidae.
AAAAAAAAUAAAAAUACUAAUAAAUAUUUUAUAAAAUAUUUUAUAUAUUUUAUAAAAUAAAAUAGGGCUUAUUUUAUUAUAUAAAAUAAUACUAAAAAAUACUAUAAUUUGUGCUUUUGUCAGGUCAAUUUAAUGGCAUCACAAACAAAACAACAUCACAAGGCAAAGAUUCACUACACCAAAACAAUGUUUAAGACACAAAAUGAGGAAAAAAUAUAAUGAAAAAUAAUGCCUAAAAUUCACAGUGCUCAUCACAAAUAUAUGCAGUGUACAACAAACAUGCAAAAUAAAUCAAAAUCACAUUCUGUCUGCCUUCUAUUAUCAUUUUCCAUCUGAGGAGAGUCUUCUUCAAUGUUCAGGGACUGCUGGAUUUUUUUUUUAUUUGCUUAAUUUCAUUCAGAAUUCACAGCUUCAAGAUCUGUCAUAAUCAUGAUGAUAAUUGCACACUCAUAAGUUUUCUCAUUAUUUAACCAUUAGUUCUCAUGCUACACAACUCAAACCCACAGGAAAUCAACAUCCCUGUGGAGUCGACUCAAAUCAAACAGCUACUCAAGAUCGCUGAUCACUUGAAAAUGACGAGCAGGUGGAGGUGGAUGUUGAAAAAAAUCAGGAACAAGCCCUCCGUUCAUCAAGCUAAUCACACGAGACGUUAUGCAGUCUGAGAAAGCCUGAGCAUUUCGGUACAUUGUAUUUGAAGGGUUUACAGGGUUUGCAUGGGCGUUUAGUCUCAUGAUUGCUCAGGCAAUGAGAGGUCAAAGGUCAACCUACACACAAGCUGGGGAACAAUAGACCAGUUCUGUGGCGUGUUCAGUGGGAACCGAGAGCGCGGCUCUGCACGUACCCUUUCAUUUCUCUAAUCGGUCCAACAGCACAAUAGUAAAUACAGGGUGGGGACAUCAUAACCACCCAUUUCAGGCCGCCACAUAUCCAUGCUGAACCAGAACGUCCUCGUUGCCUCGGGCAGAAGCUGCUUUUCCCACCACGUCUGCCUGGCAAUGCACAGAGAUUUCACAAGCCGGUUGACAGCAAAGGAACGCACCCUGGCAGAUCACUGUAUGAUGGUUCCUCCUUCACAAAGCUCCGGGUUUGAUGCCGACUGGGUUUUCGGAUCCUGUUGGAUUAGAAUGUGGUUGAAAAAGAACAGAUCAUUGAAUGAACAUUUUUGAUCUAAAUAUUGCAUGCAACCAGAUGGUUUUUUAGCGACUAGGCCUGUGAGCCAAGGACAUAAACGUGAAUGAUGGAAAAGCGGAUUGACUGCAAGUGUAAUUUGCUCAGGUUUCAUCAGAUGUUGAGAGGUUAUACUUUGGAGAUGUUUUCUUCUUUCUCAGCCAGCUUAUACCCAUUGGUUUUCUCUUUUUGUUCUUCAGUGUCAGAUCUAAUGAAAAGAACAGAAGAUGGGCAGUUUAUUGUGGAAAUCUGUAGAACAAUAAAAUUGGAAAACUUGCAUUAAGGUGUGGUCA